GACGAACGCUGGCGGCGUGCCUAAUACAUGCAAGUCGAACGCACUCUCGUUUAGCUUGAAGGAGUUUGCUCCUGAUUGAUCAACAUUUGAGUGAGUGGCGGACGGGUGAGUAACACGUGGGUAACCUGCCCUAACGUGGGGGAUAACCUUUGGAAACAGAUGCUAAUACCGCAUAAAACCUAACACCGCAUGGUGUAGGGUUGAAAGAUGGUUUCGGCUAUCACUUUAGGAUGGACCCGCGGUGCAUUAGUUAGUUGGUGAGGUAAAGGCUCACCAAGACCGUGAUGCAUAGCCGACCUGAGAGGGUAAUCGGCCACACUGGGACUGAGACACGGCCCAGACUCCUACGGGAGGCAGCAGUAGGGAAUCUUCCACAAUGGACGAAAGUCUGAUGGAGCAACGCCGCGUGAGUGAAGAAGGUUUUCGGAUCGUAAAACUCUGUUGUUGGAGAAGAAUGUAUCUGAUAGUAACUGAUCAGGUAGUGACGGUAUCCAACCAGAAAGCCACGGCUAACUACGUG
RNAcentral lists this ribosomal RNA (520 nucleotides) under uncultured bacterium. Its description in RNAcentral is "partial 16S ribosomal RNA". It matches the Rfam family "Bacterial small subunit ribosomal RNA", at positions 28 to 507 of the family's 1533-position model. The record is from RNAcentral.